GAGUUGGUGGUGGCAGAGACUUAUAAACUGGUGCGGGAUUGAUAUAGCUCCUUGGGUGUGGAGGCGAUAUGUAGACUAGGGUUGGUGGAGGUGGUGACUUGUUGACUGGGUGUGUGGAGGGUAGUAAGGCUCCUUAGUAGUGGUGGCGACUUGUAAACUGUAGUCGGUAGAGGCGGUGACUUGUAGAUUGGGGUAUGAGGAGGGUAGUAUGGCUCCUUAAGUGGUUGUGGUGACUUGUAAACUGGAGUCGGCGAAGGUGGCGACUUAUAGACUGGGUGUUUGGAGGGUAGUAAGGCUCUUUGGGUGGGGGUGGCAACGUAUAAACUUGAGUUAGUGGAAGUGGUGAUUUGUAGACUGGGUGUGUGGGGGAUAGUAUGGCUCCUUAGGUAGUAGUGGUGAUUGGUAAAUAGGAGCCGGUGGAAAUGGCGACUUAUAGACUGGGUGUGUGGAGGGUAGUAAGGCUCUUUUGGUGGGGGUGACGACUUGUAAACUGGAGUUGAUGGAGGUGGCAAUUUGUAGACUGGGGUGUGUGGAGGAUAGUAUGGCUCCUUGGGUGGUGAUGGUGGUGACUAGUAAAGCGGAGUUGAAGGUGAUGGUGAUUUAUAAAGUGGUGCAGGAUGAUAAGGUGUUGGUGAAGGAUGGUAUGGCUCUUUUGGUGAUGGUGGAGAUAAAUAUUGAUAAUUUGCUGAGCUUUGGGAAGCCAAGCAAAGUGACACAAAAACCACUAAAAGAGUGGAAAAUAGAGAGGCCAUUUCUCCCAAAAAGAAACAAAGGAGAGAAGUUGUUGUCCCUUUAAGCUGCACUCAAAGCCCUUUGUAUAGCUUUCAUUUAGAAGGUAUAAGGCUAAAGUUAUGUAUUUUUAAUUAGUUUUGUCAUGUUGUCGGUUCAAUUUGACCUUUGUUGGUAUACUUUUUUUUUUUUGUUGGAUAGAAGGUGCAAGCUAAGCAAAGAAAUUAACUACUAUGGCAGCUAUACUAUUUAUGAUGCAAUAAUUCAAAAAAAAAUACGUGGAUCCCACAACUUCCCACAAGAUUUUAGUUAUAGGAAUCUGAGCACUUUUUUUUUACACUUAGGGUGUGUAUGGUACGAUGGAAAAUAUUUUCUGAAAAAUGUUGGUUGUAGUAAAAAAUAUUUUCUAAGAUAAUUCAUUUUUUCCUAUUUGAGGGAAAAUGACUUCCCUCAUGGACCAAGGGAAGUUAUUUUUCGGAAAAUGAUAAAUGUGACUUAUGCCCCCAUCCUCACCCCUCUUCCCACCCCAACAACACUCAUAUUCACAUAACUCAAAAAAUUCACAUUUUUAAAAAAUUUAUUUUACUCAAAAUAUUUUUCACUGUGCUUUGCUUCAAUUUUUCACUGCUUGAAAUAAAAAAUAGUGAAGCCCGACUUUUUUUCAUUUCCAAUGUUCGUUGAAUGUAUUGUUAUUUUCAUAUGCAUAGAGGAAGACUUACCUAUGUUACUUUUGCUAAUUGCAUAUUUUAUUUUGUCAUCGAUGUUACUUCUUUCACGAGGUUGAAUAAGCUUAUCGUCCCGUUAUAUUUCUAUUGAUUGUAGUAUCUUGAGAUUGUCCUGAAAAAAUGUUGAAAAGUGUCUCCUAUAUUUGCUAAUUAAUAGUUGCUUAAAUUUAGUGAUUGUAAUAUUUUAGUAUUCGAUAUUGAUAUUAUUUAUUAUGCUUAAAUUAGUUCUUACAAAUUGUUGAGUUGCUAGAUGCACUGAUAUACUAGUUAACAGUUAGUAGUAUUUUCUAAAAAAAAAAAUUUCACUCACCAAUCAAACACUAGAAAAUAUUUUUCUAAAAAAUAUUUUCUACUCACCAACCAAACACCAUAAAAUAUUUUUCGAAAAUAUUUUUCACUCACCAACCAAACAUGAGAAAAUAAAUAGAAAACCAACUUAUUUUCCAAGAAAACAUUUUUCAUGAAAAAUAUUUUCCAUCGUACCAAACACACCCUUAGUAUUUGAAGAAUUCAAUUCUUGUGGAUUCUGACAGCUUAACUAACCUUCACUUAAGUGCUGAGAAAUUUAAAACAAUAUGUAUACAGUAUCAUAUAUUCUUUAAAAGAAAUGAUAUGUCAUUGUUAAAAGAGUUUAAUCUAGAGAAAACUGUGCAUGUGACUCGCUUUCAUUACCAACUAAAUCAAUUAUGUUCUUUCCUUUUGUGUAGUAGAGCUAAAAGAAACAUCAACCGAUUAUUUUGUAGCUCAAUGUUGAAAACUUAUGUGGUUCAAUAUGAUAUCUCUGAAAAUUUUACAGCUUGUUUGAUAGCUGCUGCCUAAUAAUGUAUUGUAUCGUGUUGCUAGUUUAAAUAUAAUGUGUAUUUUGAUUGUUUCUUAAAUUUUACUGUAUCAUUAAAUCUAUAACUAGAUAGCAAUAAAAAGUCUCAUUUGGUGUAACGACCUAUUUGAUGUGAUCGCGUUGUUACCUUUUUUCCCCUUUUUAUUUAUUAUUUAAUUAUCUUAAUGCUCCUUUAUCCUAUAUUUUUAUAGUAACUCUACCUCACAUUUUUCUAUUUUCCUUCUAGGCUUAUCCUUGAACUGUUAUAUGAAGGAUGCAAUGUAAUGACGAAAAAGGUAUAAUAAAUCCAAAUAUCGUAACAUUCACUAAAAUAAUAAAGUACAUACAAUACAACAUGAUACUUUAUGAAACAAUAUCAUUCCAAGUUAAGGACUUGAUUAGAAUGUGCAUGUUAAGUGUCUGAUGGGUUACUUAAGUAUAAAGUUCAAGUCCAUAUAAAAAGAUAAACCCUAAUUAUAAUGCCUUCAUCAUGGCUGGUCGACAGUAGUCUACUACUGAAUUUCCUCCUUUGAACCCAAAUUCUAUUGUGAAUAUCCAAACCCUACCGUUGGAUAAAUCUUUUGUUGAAUCAAUCAGUACAACAAAGUUGGACACCGUCUCUCGCAAAGAGGUGGUCAUGGUGGAAGGAAUCCCGAAUGUCACACUGAAAAAAGUGGAUACAGUGAAUAAAAUGGAGAAUUUGCAAUUUGUUGUCAUAGGUAAAUUCACUUAAGAAUGGACGGGUAUAGAAGAAUUAAGGAAUAUUAUCCCACAGCAAUGCAACAUUAAUGGUGAUUGUCAAAUUGGAGUAUUCAGAAAUAAACAUAUUUUCAUUCGUUAGACACAGGAGUCGGAUUUUAUUAAUAUCAUCAUCUCAAAGGGAGCUUUUUCCUUGCACUGUAAGGAUGGGUUCUCUUAUUUGAUGCGAACACUCUCACACUUAUCUAUGAUCCCCUUUUCAAAGAAACUUUAGAGACUACAAAGACUUUCGCAUGGAUUUCUUUCCCAAAUCUAUUGCCUACCUAUUAUGUCAAGGAAUGUUUGUUUUCUUUAGCUGCAACAGUGGGAAAGCCUGUCCAACUUGAUCUAGCCACCAUUAAUAGGACUAGACCAAGUUGUGCAAGGAUUAAGGUCUUGGUUGAUCUAAAAGCUGAUUUCUCUAAAUCAGUCCGGAUGGAUAUUGAAAAUGAAGAGUCAGGUAAAUGCAGGACAAUAGUGAAGCGGAUUAAAUUCGACCAUAUUCCUAAGUAUUGUCAUGAAUGCAAUAUGCAAGUUCAUGCUAAGAAUCAAUGUAGAAACUUAGGCACCCCAGAGGAUGCAACAAUGGCAGUAACAGUGGAUAAUAAGGAAUAAAAGAGGCCAGUACAACAUCUUCCUAAAUUCACAAUGCCUUUUGUACACAAAUUUCAAAACGGAAAAGCAUGAGUUCUUUCGAGUGGGAUUGUAGUUGGAGAUCCUACUAACUGGAUGGUUAUUAAAAAUGAUAAGAGGAUAGUUAAUACUUCCCAACAGCCUCUUUUAAUGAUAUAGUUAAUACUUCCCAACAGCCUCUUUCAAUGACAAAUAACCAAUUUGCUGCUCUAGCUACCGACGACAAAGAACCUGCUGAAUUAAACAUUUCGACAAAGGAGAGUUCAAACCUUAAGGCAUGUACGGAUGUGUUCCAAAUAAUAAGGAAAAUGAAAAAGUUAAUCUGUGGUCCAAUAAAGAAUCUGCUAAAGAGUGGGUAUCAAGGGAUUUUGGCAAGCUAGGUGAAGUUCCCAAUUCUGUAAUACCUGUACAGCAACAAGGCAGUCAGCAACUAAGUAAUCAACAACAAAGGCAAGAUAGAGAUAAUAAUGCUAAAGAGAAUAAUAAAGAUGGUAAUGGGAUGGAGAAUGAUAUGCAGGUUAAAUCUUUAAUAAAUCAGGAGCAUAAUAUUGAUGAUGGUCAGCAACAAUGCCUCAUAGUCAAAAAGGACAAUCUGCAAUCUAUAGAAGAUGUGCAACCAGAUACCAAGCAAUAGUCAAUGCAGAUUAAUCAAGAUUUUUACAGUGGAAGCUAUGAUAAUGGAGAUAGGUCAGUUGAGGAAAGUGUGGGGAUAACAGUUGUGAUGCAAGGGGAACAAAAUGUGUGUUUAGAAAUAAUGGAGAUUCCAAAACCAGUGCAGAUAGAUGAAUCAUUUAUCGUUACCAAGAGUUCUCCCAACAAAGUAAUACAUGACAUUGUCUCUCAUAGUUUAGGGUACAUUAAAUGCAGUAAUCAAACUCACAUGGCCAAAGGAGUUAAAGAAGUAGAUGUAGAAGAUGAUUCGAAGGAUCAUGCUCCAUCGGAAGCUGAUUUAUCACCAAGACUGAUGAAAAUCUCUAAAAAAGGAUAAAAAAGAAUGUGGAUGGGAGAAAACUCACAACCUACCAGAGUUCAUCCUAAGCGAUCCAAAUCUGCCCUAAAUUAUCAAUGAAAGCACUUAUUUGGAACAUUAGGUCUGUGAAGACACAACAAGAUUUCAAAGACUUCAGAUGCUUAAUAAUUAUCAUAAGUUCACCGGUUUCAGUUUGUUAGAGCCUUUUCAGAAUGUUAGAUAUAAGAGAAGAUUGAAAAUGCAUAGGGCUAUGUCAAACUGCAAUAGCAAGAUUUGGUUUUUCUCCUCUCAAGAUGUGAUAACAACUGUUAUUAAAGACACUGAUCAUCAGCUACAGUUCACUUGCAGGAGUAGGCUCAGAGCUUAGAUUUAUUACUCUUGUUUAUGCAAAGUGUUCUAAAGAGGAGAGAUUAAUCUUAUGGAAGGAUAUUUAUCAAGUUGCUUCUGGAAUUUCAAAACCUUGGAUGCUAGGAGGAGAUUUAAUGUUGUUUUGAAUUCUGAAGAGAAAAUUGGUGGCCUUCCAAUUCUUGAUGCAGGCCAUGGGGACUUUCAAUCAUGUAUUUCUUAUUGUGAUUUGAUGGAGAUACCUUUUAAAGAAAGUUCUUUCACUUGGUGGAAUGGUAGAGCAGGUAAUGACUGUAUUUUAGAAAGAUUGGAUAGAAUUUUUACUAAUCAACAACAACAACAACAACAACAACAACAACAACAAACCCAGUGUAUUCCCACCUAGUGGGGUCUGGGGGGGUAAGAUGUACGCAGUCCAUACCUCUACCUCUGCUGAAUUUUUACUAAUCAAGAUUUACAAAAUAAGUUCAAUCACAUGAAGGUAGAACAUCUUGCUACUAGUUCAGAUCAUGCUCCCAUGUUGUUGUAUUGUUAUGACAGAGCUAUCAGUUACAAGAAAUCUUUUAGAUUUCUUAAGUUUUGGACUGAUCAUCCUAAGUUCCUAGAAGUAGUAAGGCAGAAUUGGUGUUCUUCAGGUUCUCAGAGUCCAUUCUUAGAUUUCAAAGCAAAGAUUAAGAGAAUUAAAGUUGCUUUGACAAGAUGGAGUAAAGAGACUUCUGGGGAUAUUUUUAAAUAGUUGAUAAUCAGGGAAGAAAUUGUCAAGAUCAAAGAGAAAUUAUUUGAGGAAUGCCCUACGGCUGAUAACAGCGAAGUGUUGCAAAGAGCUCAGUCCGAGCACAAAAUAUAUCUUCGUUUUGAAGAGAUUUUUUGGCAGCAAAAAGCAGGUUAUGACUGGUUUGAGAAUGGUGACAGAAAUAUUAAAUUUUUUCAUAGCACUGUGAAGGGGAGGAGGAAAAGAUUGAAUUUGAAUAGAAUUCAAAUUAAUCAGGGUAUUUGGCUGGAUAAAGAAGAAAAGAUAGCCGCAGAGGUUGUUAUGUUUUAUCAGGACCAAUUUAGACAAGAACAAGAGGCUAAUGUUUUUUCAUAACUGAAUAAUAUACCUAAGAGUAUUUCUGAUGAGCAAAAUAUUGUUUUAAGUCAGUAAGCUGAUCUUGAAGAAGUUAAAAAGGCACUUUUUAGCUUAAAUGAAUAUAGUGCAAGUGGCCCGGAUGGGUUAACAAGUAGGUUCUAUCAGGUUCGCUGGGAUAUUAUUGGUAAUGAUGUUCUUAAUCUGGUGCAAGAUUUCUUAAAAGGUAAUACUCUUCCCAAAUUCAUUAUUCAUACUAAUUUGGUGUUGCUUCCCAAGAAGGAUUUUAUUCAAUUUUUCUCAGAUUUGAGACCAAUUAGUCUUAAGUAAUUUUAUUAAUAAGAUCAUUUCUAGGAUUGUGCAUGACAAAAGUGAACUUCUUUUGCCUAGACUGAUUUCUUUUAAUCAAUCUAAAUUUGUCAAAGAGAGAAGAAUUAUUAAAAAUUUCCUCCUGACUCAAGAGAUAGUUACUGACAUCAGAAAAAUGGGUAAGCCGGCUAAUGUGGUCUUAAAGCUUGAUAUGACUAAGGCUUAUGAUAGGGUUUCCUGGUUUUUCCUGAUGAAGGUUCUAAGAAAAAUAGGGUUCUCAAAAUUGUUUAUGGACUUGUUUUGGAGAUUAUUGUCUAAUAAUUGGUAUUCUAUACUAAUUAAUGGGCGAUCACACGGCUUUUUUCACUCAACUAGGGGAGUAAAACAAAGAAAUCCUUUAUCUCCAGCUUUCUAUUUGAUGAUGCUCAAUAUGUAGGUUAUGAUAUGCCAAAGUGGAGUUCCAAUAUUAAUCAUCUUGCUUAUGCAGAUGACACUAUUAUAUUCGCUGCAGCUAACAGAUACUCUUUGAGAAAGAUUUUUUCAGUGUUACGGGAAUAUGAAACUCAAUCAGGGCAAAAAGUUAAUAAAGAGAAGAAUGCUUUCUACAUGCAUCAGAAUUCAGCUGCAGUUGAUAAACAAAUGGUGGAAGAUUGUGCGGCUAUUUCUAAAGGCCAAUUUCCUUUGAAAUACCUUGAAUGUCCUAUCACUCAUGCUAGAAAAAGAAAGAGUCAUUAUUCAGAGCUAAUUCAGAAGGUUAAGUCAAAAUUACAGGCUUGAAAAGGUAAUAUUCUCUCAUAUGGGGGGAAAGGAGGUCCUUAUCUCUAGUGUUCUUCAAAGUGUUCCUAUACAUAUCCUUUCUGUUGUUGUCCCUCCUAUUUGUGUAUUGAAGGAGCUUCACAGAAUAUUUGCAAAUUUUUUUGGAGUAAUAAGGCCGAUGGAAGAAACAAACACUGGGCUGCUUGGGUAAAGGUGUUUUUACCAAAACAGAAGGCAGUUUGAGUUUUAGAUCGAUGUUUGAGGUAUCUCAAGCCAUGUAUCCUAAGUUCUGGUGGAAGUUCAGAACUCAAAAUACUACUUGGUCCAACUUUAUAUGAGACAAGUAUUGCAAAAAGCAAAUACCUUCACUAGUUUAAUGGAAAGGUGGCUCGCAAGUAAGGAAGCAUAUGUUGCAAAAUAGGGAUCUAGUGGAGCAAUUCUUGUGGUGGAACCUAAAGGAGGUACUUCUACAGUUUGGUAUGAUAAUUGGACUCAACUUGGUCCUCUUUUCAAACACCAGGUAGAGGUCAUUCUUCUUUUCCAGUGAUGGAUAUUGAGGAAUUCAUGUUGGGCUCAGACUGGGAUUUUGAGAAUAUGCAAUAUCAUUUAUCAGAUAAUGUAGUAGAGCAUGUAAGAUUACAUUUGAGGCUUGUACGACAUCCUGGAGAAGGUGACAAGCCCUGGUGGAUUAAAUUUAGUUCUGGCAAGUUCUCGGUUAAAAGUGCUUGGGAAGAACGGAGGAAAAAAACGUUUGUAAUGAGUCAUUUCAGAAGAUCUGGGUAAAAGAGAUUCCUUUCAAAAUUUCUUACUUUGGUUGGAGAGUUUGGACAAAUAGGAUUCCUGUAGCCUCUGUUUUAGCUAAUUGGAAUCCUAACUUGUCUCCUCUUUAUUCAUAUUGUGUUUCAAGAAAUCAUGGAGCACCUCUUUCUAAAAGGUGAAGUGGUUUAUUUCGGUUUGGAUUUAUUACGCCAAUGCUGCAGGUAUUCUGGGGCCCUGGGUUCAAAUUAAACUAUCCAUAAAGAAGUGGUGGGAUAUAAAUGGUAAUUAAAGACAAAGAUUCAUCUUUCAGGUAGUUCCUACUCUCAUUUUGUGGUUUUUACGGAAAAGAAGGAAUGCAUUAGUUCAUGGAGGUUCAUACUCUACAGCCAAGGUUAUUUGGGAUAUUAAUGGUUUAAUUAAGAAAAUUCUCAGAAAGAAGUUUGGUUAUGAUCAGUUACCAUCUAGUUGGCCUCAAAUAGUUGCUUUUUGACUUAUUUAGACCUACAUUUUUAUCUAGAUGGAUAAGAUGGUAUCCCCCACCUAGGGGAUAGUGGAAAUAUAACACUGAUGGAACCUCGAGAGGUAAUCUAGGUCGAAUUUCAGCUGAUUUUUGUGUACGAAAUCAUGUAGGUGAUCUUGUGUAUGCUAAGGGUUUCUCUAUUCCAGAUUCCACUAAUCUGGUUGUUAAAGUCAUUGCUAUAGGAGUUGGUUUACAUUAUUGCUUAGAAAAUCAAAUUGUCAACAUUAUUGUGGAAUCUGAUUCCCUUGUAGUAGUCAACAUGAUUAAUGGAGUGUGGGAAAUUCCUUAGAGUGUGAUAAUGGAGGUCAACUCCAUUAAAGAUAUGAUGGAUUCUUGUUCAGCAAGAGUACAACACUCCUUAGGAAAGGGAAAUACUCUUGCUGAUUAUUUAGCUAACUUGGUUUUUCAUUUUGCAGGUAACUUUGAAUUCAACAGUUUUCAUGAAAUUCCAAGCGCAGGUAGGAAGAUUAUCAAUCUAGACAAACAAGGCAUUCCACAAAUGAGGAUAAGACAGUGUACAUCAACUAAUUCAACAAGGGAUGGAUCGCUACUGCAGAUUACAAAGUGAAUUUACAAACUCUAUUAGCAGUGACUAGUUACUGGUGAAUUUAGUGCAGUCUGAAUUAGUUUCGUUUGGUUAACAUACCAUGCACCUGUGGGAAUUUUUAGGUGUUACAUAGAGUAUAAACCCAGGACUCACUUAUACUAGUUGCUAAUUUCUAGGUAUAGAGUUUAUAAAAAUCAAGCACAAAUUUAGAGGCAUUUCAUAGUCUCAAAUCUGUUGAUGAGGAGAGGAUGGAGUACCCGGGACCUCAAAUUUAGCGGCGGAAGAUAGACAGGGUAUAAUUAUCAAGCAAUACAAUUCUUUUAUACAGAUUCCACUUCAGAGAAGAACAAAAAUAAUCAUUGCCAACUUAUGGAUUGCAAAGUGUCAAAAUACAAAUUUCAGCAUUUGGAGUAACACAAGAAGGCAAGGAGCAAGAUAAGUAUUAAUGGACAGUAGUGGUGAUUAACAUUCACUAAUACUGAUUGAUUUCUAAGUCAUACAAUUGAAAUGGGGGUUAAGGUGAACCUGUUAGUUCUGGAUCCUUGGUGGUGGUAUCAAUCUCCUUGAGGUUUAUUCCGCUAGGAAAAAGAGAGAACAGUGAAAUCAUUUUUUUCAUUUCACAGAUGAGUUUAGAAUAGAAAAAGGGAGGUGACUUACCAUAUCAUCUGCAAUAAAUAUUUAUUGAUUUGGAGCUGUAGAAAUUUAGUUGAAACCAAUUUCAUGAAGUUUGUAAGAGAUUAAAGUGUCUUAGUGAAAUUUGAUGGAUGUUCCAUGGCAAUAAUGGCUUCCACAACUUAAUGCAACAACCAGAUGAGGUUGGAGUAGCAAAGAUUGAAACCAUAGUUGCCUCUCCGUGAUGUCUUUCAGCUUUGAGUUUUAUCCACACAUUCCUUUUCCUGCUUACAUUUUCUGUUUUUGGUCUUUUCAGAUGUCUGGAUAUAUUUGUUGCUUUUGUUUUGGACCCGGGUCUUGCUUAACUUGGGCCAAUUUGUACAUAUCUUUUCUGCUCCUGAAUAAAUUGGGCUCUGGUCCAUCUUCAAUUAAAAAAAAGGAAAAAUGACAUGGACUGACCAGUUUAAAAAAAGGAAAUUUUGCAUAUAUACCGACAUGUUUACUCUUAAUUACCAAAAAUUUCAACAUUUUUCAAAAUCUCCAAAAAUUCCAACAUUUGACCUCUGAUAAUACAAGUUAAUCACAUUAGAUACAUACUGUUGAUAUAUGUAUCUAAUGUGAUUAACUUGUAUCAUACAUUAGAUAUAUGUAGGGUUACAUUAGAUACAUGUAGGGUUACAUUAAAUACAUGUAGGGUUAACUUGUAUCUCAAAAAUAGUCCCAAAUAUGAAAUGUUGGAAUUUAUGUAAUUUUUCAGAAGUAGGGGGAUUUUUAGAAAUUUUGAAAGUUAUGAUGUUUAUUUAUGUAAUUUUUUGUUAAAAAGAAAAAAAAUAGCCCACACUAUGAAAAUAUGGACAAUUGGAGCCAGUAGACCCAAUUUAUUUCCUGUUUUUUCAGUCAUUUGGCCCAAAACUAUUCUCCUUACACAAUUAAGGGGAUUAAAUACUCUUCACAGUAGGCUACUCUUAAAUCACUUUUCUUUUCAAACUAUACUUUCCCAAAAAAAUGUUCACCUCUAUUAUGUGUCGAUCAAUCUACUGUGUUUUGUGAUAACAAUUGAGUUAGUAGGGCACAUGCAGUCUCUAUACCCAAUUGAUACACUUUUGUACCAUAUUGAUACAUGUUUAUACCCAAUUGAUACUCUUUAUACUACAUUGAUACACUUUUAUACUCAAUUGAUACUCUUUUAUACUAGAUUGAUACACUUUUAUACCACGUCGAUACAGUAUGUAUAUUACAUAAAUACAUCUUUUACAGAGGAAAUUUGUGCAAGCAUAUACAGUAACAAUACCAAAUUAAUACAGUAAAUCAAAAUUAGUAAGUACGAACAUAAUUGAUACUCUUUAAAAUUAUAGUAUUAAUAGUACAUAAAGUAACAAAAAAAAAGAUCAAAUCAUCUUUCCAUCAAUUAUUGUUUUGAUUUAGUUCAUUCUUUCUCCUUAACGCUCUUUUAUAUUUCUAACUUCCUCUUCCUACCUUUAUUUUCUCUUCUUUUUUUCUUUCCUUCAUUACUAAGUUAGUUGUAAACACCCAUAUGAUGAAGUAUGUAUUUACUCUUGAGUUGAUGUCAUAUUUAUCCUACUAAGAAAAAUCACAGGUUCUGUAAGGAAUUGUCUAGACAUGGAGUACAUAUAAAAAUUUAUUCUGCCACUUGAAAAAAACCUGUAAAAAACUAAUUAAAUUCAGAUUUUUUGAGAUUUUAUACAAAAUUUAUGAAAUGAGAAAGGUAAAUUGGAGUAUCGAAAAAAGGUAAAGGAACAAAUAUUUAGGAGUUUGAAUGGAAAGGAAACUGGGAAUGAAAAGAAAAGAAAGAAAGGGAAAGUUACUUCAAGGAUGUUUUUGAUUUUGUUUAAGCGUAUGACAGUGAAGGUUAGUUAGUGGAAUUACUCUGUGUCUAUUUAUGAUGUAUUUAAUUUUGACUGCUAUUUUUUUAUAUUAUUUUAGUUUUAGGUGUUAUUUCUGUCAUUUGCCCAAAAAAAAAAACUUACUAUUUUACUACAAUUCUUGUUGGUAAGAAUACAUUAUUUCUUUUUUUUUUUUAGGGCAAACAACAUAAAUUUCGAGAAUUUGGAGCUUAAUUACAGAAAAUUCUGAUAUUUUGCAUAAUUGUUGAAAAUCUCAAUUUUGGAUCUGUUGAGAUACAUUAUUAGCUUCUGAUACAAUCAAAAAGAUACAUUUUUAACUUUGUAUAGAUAUAUAAUUAGCUUCCGCUACAUAUUUUUUAAAUUUUGCGUUUGUUGAGAUAUAUAAUACAUCCAAUGAAGAUAUAUUUUUUUCUUUGUAAAGAUAUAUAAUUAGCUCCCAGUGCAGUUUUUUUAUUUUUGGGUCUGUCGAGAUACAUAAUAAGCUUUCGAUACAUCCAACGAAGAUAUAUAAUUAAUUGAGCUUUUUGUAGUUAUUUUGUAAGAGUGAAAAUUUUGUAUAAAUAUAAUAAGUUAAGAUGUAUAUUUAUACUAUUUUUCCAUAAUUUGCUUGCGAACCAAAUCGACCACUAAAGAAUUGAAAAGUUAAACAAUUUGUUCCCAAUACAGAACAAACUUUAGCCUAAAAUUUAAUGCUAAAAAUUACUACAAUGAGCUGAGUGGCUGAAAUGGUGCCACUUAAGAAUAAUUUGGUGGAUGAAAUGAAUGAAUUGUUUUGGAGUACAAAUUUUGAUUUAGACAAUCUAUUGAAAUUUAUUAUAGUACUGUUUAUAUUUAGGGGCCAUUUUUCAGGAUCUAUGAAAAAUUUAUAAUGUUGAGUAGAACAUACUAUAAAAGUAAUGUUGGAUAGAGCAUAUCACACAUUAGCACAAUCCUAAUCAAUAAUGAUAGCUAUUCAUCUCUAGUUCACUUUUAUAGUUAAUCAAAGAAUUAUUAACAACGAAAAUUAAUUUUCUUGUUUUGGUUUUCUAUCAUUGAAUCAGCAAUAGUUUGAUAUAAGAACUAUUCAGAACAGACUAAAUUAAAGAGAAAGAUGGAAUACCGUCAAUGAAAAUAAUAGGAUAUGAUAUCUUCAAAGAUAAAGAAGGCAGUGAACUUUUUACACAUAUAAUACGUAUAAUUAUUAAAGAAUAUAAAAGAAAUUAAAAAAAGGACAUACAGUACAUAUAUAAACUGGAAAAGAAGAUCAAUAAUGUAAAAGUUUGAUGUUAACACUGUUCCUUAAUUAAAAUUUCCAUAAUGAUUAUACUCGCUAUUUUCUUUCAUUUGCACAAAUCAAUAUGCUCCUUUCCCCCCUUUUUUUCUCCUGAUCACUCCUUAAAGAACGAGACAUAUAGCAUACAUAGAGAAGAGAGUACUUUGUCUCCCUCAAUAAAUACCUUGAGAAAAAAAUGUAACUCAUUAGUAGUUUCUUGAUUUUGUAAAAUUUUCUUUAUUUAAAAAAGAGUAACAUUGGAAGAAGGUCAUUAGUAUCUUUUUUAUUAUCUAAAACAACAUUUAUUAUCUUUUUUAUUAUCUAAAACAACAUUUAUUAGGAGCAAAAUAAAAAAGCUAAACAACCACUUAUUAGAAACAGAGGGAGUACUAAUUAUCUGAUAGUGUUUUCAGUGUUACGCAUCAUGAACUAAAAGCUUAAUUUAAGAAGCAUUGACUGCUUAAUGAAAUCUUUUAAUUCACAAUGAUAAUAAGGAAAUCCAAUUUGUGUUGUAUCAUUCUAGCCUUUCCAUUUUUUAUGGAGACAAAGCAUUAAUAGACAAAUGGAGAUUGGACAUAUCAAGAUUUCAGUCUCAUCCUGUCAAAUCAUUAAUUGUAAAACCUUCAUGUAUUUCUAUGUUCAGCCUAAGAUAUUAAGGGGUUAAUAUUCUUUCAAAACAUGGAGAGUUUCUGAUAUUGGGAGACAUGGUUGUUUGUCGAAUAUAUUUAUUUCUCAAUAAUUGAAAUAUAUAAUUGUAUUUGAUGUGAAGAAAGUAUUAGUUAAAAUGCAGUUUGGUUCAUUUUGGCUAGGGAUUCCAUCCUUUCCAUGUAUAAAAGUUUUUGAAUGUAAGGAUGAGAAAUCAAGGUAUCUGCUACACUUUUUUUAUAUAUACGUGUAGCGCAUGUAUCGAGAAAUUAGUAAAAGAAAAAAAAAAUUCCUCAGCUAAUUCUCAAUCAACACCAACUCCAUCUUAGGAAAGUGUGGUUGGUUCUGUUCUUCCUCGAAUUCAAUGAAUUUUUGUCAUAUUGUCAUACAUAUAACGAAUAAUAUAUAUAUNNNNNNNNNNNNNNNNNNNNNNNNNNNNNNNNNNNNNNNNNNNNNNNNNNNNNNNNNNNNNNNNNNNNNNNNNNNNNNNNNNNNNNNNNNNNNNNNNNNNNNNNNNNNNNNNNNNNNNNNNNNNNNNNNNNNNNNNNNNNNNNNNNNNNNNNNNNNNNNNNNNNNNNNNNNNNNNNNNUAUGCCUCUUUUCCUCUUUAAAUUUUAAAGUAAUAAUUAAGAAGAAAAAAGAAGAAGAUACUAUUCAAUAAUUUAAUUCUGAUACCAUCAACAUGGAAGACUCCAUUUGCUUCAUCUAACAAUGGACUUUGGCAUUAUAUAAUUAACAAAACAAUUAAUUAUUAGGAUAACUUAAUCACCGACAAAGGUUUCUUACUAUUAUCCUUAUGAGAUUCCACUAGUUAAGCUAAAUAUUUUUAAUCGACGUAAGAGUUAUGAAUGUAUAAACAAGUAGAUCUUAGCUACAUUGACCUAGUCAAUCAUUAUUAUUACCGACAUAUUUAUGCUAUACAAAUAUUUGUCCUAAUGCUAUCUUUUAUUUAUUUUUUUAAUGGAAAAGGGUCAAAAAGAUUCCUGAAUUAUUCGAAGUGGAGCAAAAAUAUCCCUCAUUAGUUUUUUGUCUCAAAAGUAUCCCUCUCUAAUGAAAUAACACCAAGCAUGUCAUGUAGACAAAAUACGUCACUUGAACAGUUCACGUCAGAUCGACCAUCUUUAUUAAAGGUGAAUGCUCCAUUAAAUGAGAGAUUUUCCAUGUGGAUAUUGGCGCCUAGCGUGGACUGUUCAAGUGGCGCUUUUUGUCCACGGACAUACUUAGUAUCAUUCUGUUAGAGAGAUGAAUAGUUUUGAGCCAAAAAUUUAAUGGAGGAAUAGUUGUAAGCAAAAAAAUUAACGAAAGAUAUUUUUACUUUAUUUCAAAUAAUUUAGGAAUAUUUUUAAUCGUUUUUUGCUUUUUUAUGAUUUCUAAGUUGCUUAUAAUUUUUUUAUUACUACAUGAUUAACAAUAUUUUUUUAUUUCCAUAAAUAACAGAGAGUAAACUAAGUUGCACCUUAAUGGUCGAAAAGUAUUCACUAUUUUUUUUAGACUUAAAGAGGUGAUUCUGAUACAUGUCUUAUGAACAAUCAUUACAAAUUUUAUUAUUUUAAAUUUUGUUUUAGAUAAGUCUAUGAUUAAGUUGUUGGUGACCAAUUUAUUCAAUUGAGUGAGGCUGGCAUGUCCAAAGAUUUUAGGACGAAGAAACGGGUUAUUAUGUUAAUUAGGUAGAUUUAUUUUAGGGAGAAAUAAGACAUAUGCUUUAAUUUGUAAAUAUUAAUAAGUAUUUUUCCAUUUAAGCAUAGCUUCUUUUAAAUUUAAAUUAGUAAUCAAACAGUGUUUAGUAGUAUUUUCUACCUUGUUGGCUUUGUCACACAUUUGAGAGAUGCUAAAAAUGUGUAUUAAAAAAAAAAUAAGAUGGAAAGAGAAGCAUACUGGCUCAAAGGUAAAGCCGCUAAAACGUGCUUUAAGGUUCAAAAAUAGUAUUUUUAUUAUAUAAUUAGUCUCUCCUAUGUUUUACAGUUUAUAGUCUAUAUGCAAUAAAUCAAAUUCUAUUAUAUAAUUUUUUAUAUAAAAAUAAAAGUUUCUUUAAAGUUAUUAAAGGAUGUCCAUUUGUUGUAAUAAAAUACAUUGAUUUUGGUUCUCAGAAUCCUAUUGGUACAUAAUAAACUUUGGCUAUUUUAAUUCAAAGUUUUAAAAUAUCAAAUACAAUUCUAUAAUCUUUAACUAAAAAUUUAAAAAUAAGAUUAUUAAACUUCCGAUGAUAUGAUUGUAUAAGAAAAUAAUAAACAUUUUAAAAUGUUAUUGUAACUUUAUAUAAUACAUGUAACAGUAUUUUUCUAGUGAUUAUAAGAAGAAUUUUAUUGAAAAAUCAAACGUAAUUGUAACUUGCGGUAUUGAAAGUAAAAUUUGAUGGCGAGGAAAAUAUGAGUCCAUUCUUAUGUCAUUAAAAUUUAUAAACCUUUUUAUUAAGAUGACUUGAAAAUGGUAUUUAACUAUAUAUAAUUUAUAAUUUUUUAAUUAUCAUAAAUAAAAUAUUUCAUUUUCGUGAUAUUUUAGUUUGGAUUGCUUUCUAUCUAUCAUUAAUGACAAAAUACAUCGUCAGACCCCUUAAAUUGACACCAUUUUUCACUUUGGCAUCUUAAGUGGACAUUGUUCACCUUUGGCAGUUCAAAUAACCAUAAAGUGUAUCAUUUUGACAUCUUUCGACAUCAAUAAAAGUGUGUGUUACACUCACUGUCAACGUGGAUAAAACGGCCAACUGAUUUAUGCCAAUUCAUUUAAAUUGCCACAUCAUUAUUUAUAUUCACAAUUAGUUUUAAAAAAAAUAAAAUCAAAACAUAUGGCAAUUAAUGACAUAAUUAUCUAACUCAUUAAUAUAUAUACAAAAUUAAAUUAAAAGAAUCAAUUAAUUACUGACACGUGACAUUUUUCAAAAUAAUUAUAAAAUUAUUUAUUUUAUUUGGACAACCCUCCACCCACCUCCCACCCCCAAACUCCAAAGUCAUCUUCUCUACCACCAUCUAUCCCCCCGAUACCCCCCACCCUAAAUCAUCUUCUCUAUUUGGCAACACCCCUCUUCCCGUCAUGUUCUCCAUCUCCCUCCCCCCCCACCACCCCCAACCCCUGCCUGAGUCAUCUUAUCCUCUCCAUUUGCCCCUUUGAAAAGAUGAACACUCAAUCAAAGAUUAUAGUAUAUAUGUAUAUCAAAGACCUUGAUUAGUCAUAGCUUGACCUCAAAAAUUAGAAGGCAUUAAAUGACUGUUUUUUUUCUUAACAAAAAAUAAAAAAGAAAUGAUUGACCUUGAAAUAUAUUCAUCAGUAGUAUGUGUGAACCUAUUCUUUGGCAACGCAGUGGUCUUCUUACUACUUCAGUUGCAGUCAUAACAUGUUGACAAAGAUGGUGAUUGCUCAACAACAAAUCACUCGUUGUUGUUAGUGUGUUAGUGUGUUUCGUUAUUCUUGAAAAGUUCAACCUCCAUUAAUGGAAGUUAAGCUAAAGAAAGGUUGUGUGAAGAAGGCAAUGUGAGGAAAUUUUUUGUAAUUAUUUGGUCAAUAAAACAUGUGCCAUUAAUUUAUUGGAUCAAUUUUUACUGAUUUGGCAAUAGAGAUUUUCAAUAGUUUUAAAAAAAAUUUAAAGAUGAAAAAUUACAAAAAUAUCCCUAAAAAUUUAUGAAAAUACUCUUCAAACGCUCCAAAAAGUGAGCAACGUCCACUUGAAGUGCCAAAAUGAAAGAUAGCACCAAGUUGAGGACCGACAAUAUAUUCUUUCUUCAUUAAUUAGUGCAUGUACUACUCCUGUACUCCAUUGGUUUUGAUUUUUUCUUGUUCCUGCACAUUAUUUCUCCUUUUUUACUGUCUAUAUAGUACUAUUUUUUAACUUAGUAUGUUGAAAUUAAUUAUUUUUUAUUUGCAUAUGAAAAAGAAAUACUUAACUAGAUUGAUUCUUAUUCGUAUAUAAAAAGUUAAAAUAGUGAAAUUCAAGAAAAAUAUAUGAAUUUUAUAUUUGGCUUUAGAUGGCUAAUUAUAUUAAGCCGCCCUUGAAGGGACGGUGAAUUGUAAUAUUUUUUGUGGUUGACUAUGAGGCGAGCUAUAAUAUGAAAUCAAAUAAGUAACAUAGUAUAAUUAUGUGCUAAGUAAUGUGUCAUAUGAUAUUUUUCAAUUGAUUUGAAUUCAGUGUGAAUUAUAGUUAGUCCUUCCUUUUGGAUUUUUGUUAAACUGAAAUUUUCAUUUUUAUUACAUAGAGAGAGAAGUUAUAAAAAGGAUGAUUACAACGUGUUGUAACUUUUCAGGACGAAGAACAACAAGUCAUUGUUUUAUUAAAGAGGGAUUGUCCCUUGUCCAUAUCAGCUUUCAAGAAAAUAACAGAACAAAUGUUGAAUCUACUACUAUGAGAAAUUCAUCAUUUGUUUUGUUGGAGUUAGCCAAUGUCUGCUUUCUCCUUCCUAAUCCUAAAAUUAGCCAAACCAACUUUAUCCAACCUAUAAGUCCUUUAUAUUCAUCAUUAAGCUCUUGAAAUUGUUGUUGAGUACAAUGUUGAGGGUGUACUUAAUUUCUAAUCAUACAAUAGCGGUCUUUUUCACUCUUUGUAGUUGAUAUAUUGCCUCACCAAACACUAUUUUCCUCUCUUCGCUCUUUUUAAAUACACAAUAAAUGAAUUAGGAAGUUACAAUGCUUGUUAAGAAUAGCAUAGAGCUUUGGAGAAUGUUUGGACAGGAUGUACAGUUUCUUUUCCUAGAAGGCAUAUAUAGUCUUUGUGUGCUUGAUGUCUUGAAAAAGGAUAGAGAAAGACAAUCCAUACUACAUGAAAAAUAUUGAAUUGAGACAUAAUAUUUAUCAAUGGACAAGUCUGGCAUAGAGUUUAAACGGAUUUGUGAUAGAAUUAACUAAUUUAUAGUGUUGAUUUUAAUUUUUUCAAAAAUAAAUCAUAAAAUAGAUUGCCUAGCUUGACGUGUUAUGUGAUAUUAUGCAUAGAUUAAGUCCAUUGGAGGUUGUCUGAUUAGAGAAUCGGACAAUGCUUAGCAUGGGAAUUUCAUUGAAUAUGGAGCUAAGUGAGACUUUAAUCUCUCAUUUACUUGCUUUUUCAAAAGCAUUAUUUAAAACUGAGAAAUCGCUUCAAACUACUCCUCCACCCCAUUUUAGUUGGGCACAUUCUAUUUUAUACGGUGAUUAAGAAUCAUAAAUUGAAUGAUAAAUUUUACGAUCUUACCCUUUACUCAUAUUAAUGUUAUUCGUUGGGCAUAAGAAUGAACAUUGAAAUUGAAAUUGUUAACAUUUAAUAUAUACUAAAAAUUGUAGGGGAAAAAUAAAAAAAUAAUUAAUUUUAUCCUAAUUUAGUAAGUGGUCUUUUUUGGUGGGCUGAAACGCAUUAAAAAGAAAUAGCGGAGUAUUACAGUAGCACCUGGAUUAACCAGGAUCUACAAAAUUUGAGUUUGAGCUUAUGCCCUCUAAUGAAACAUUACAACACCUUGUUUGCCUAAUGAAACUAGUUCCUAGGAUGUCAGCCCAGGUAGCUUUGCAGCAUACAUUGGAGGAAUUACAAAAGAGUUUCUCUGUCCACAAACUUUCAGUCUUGCUCCUUCCUUAGCUAAUGCAUCCUUCACCAUAUUCUGCUCUUUAUAGCAGUGCUGGAUUUGUGGUCGUCCCAGACUCCUGAUUAGCAACCUGCAUCCAUUAAUUAUGGCAUUAUAGUGGAGGUUUCCCUCUUUGAGCAUAAUAAUAACCUUUUUCGAGUCUACAUUGAUGUCCACGGGAACUAAGGACAUUUCCUCCAUAAUUUUUAGUCCCUUUAGUUGAGCAAAGAGCUCCAUCUGGUUAUUAGUAAUCACAGGGAAAACUUUUUUGAAACCUGUAGUCCAAUUCCCUUCAUUGUCUCUAAUAACCCCUCCAAUACCACCCCUACCAGGAUUUCCCAAACAUGAGCCAUCAGUGUUAAGUUUAAAUCUUUCUUUAGAGGUUGGUUCCCACUUAACACUAAUGUUCAAUAAUCUAUUUGUCACGACCUGAAUCAAGGUCUGGCCGUGAUGGGCAUCCCUAGCCAACCAAGGUCGGAGAUGACCCCUAACCUUACCUCAAGAGCACAUCAGUAAAAACAAACAACAAAAUCCAACCAAGAUAAAAAGAGAAACAUAUGAUUCCAAAAGAAAGUUAAGAGUCAAAACCAACUCCAUAAUAAUAUCCCGACACUGCCUACAAAAGUCUCUAAUCCAAAAAUACCAACUAAGUCAAGACAUGUCCCCGACUAUAACAAAAGAAAUUCAAAAGUUCUGAAAUGAUAAAUGUAACUAAGAAAGAGGCCAAGUCUUUUGAUAGUUCAUAAGUUGGUUGAACUUGUGUUGAACUUAUUGUGGAUUAAAUACAAAUUUUGUACCCAGAAUAACAAUCUUAAGGAAUUUAUUAAUAAUUUUAAUUUUUGAGUUUCUAGAGAUUAAAACUUUUUGCUUUCUACGCUGUUUGAACUUUAUAGUGAUUUGAAGUUAUAAAAACUUCAUCACGGGUUAAUGUUCAUUCAGUUGAUGAUUAGAAGAACAUAAAAGCUUCAACAUUAAACUAGAAAUAAGUUGUUUAAAGUUUUUAAAACUUUAUUCUUAGUAUUUUGACUUACUAAAUUGGUUGUCUUUUUGUCACAGUAAAAAUGAUUAUUGAAAAUCAAGUUAAUGAUGGAAUGGUCAAUGUCACAACAACAAAUAUUGCUACUUAAAAUCGUUCAAAUGCUGCUCCGCCAAGGCACUGACAGAAAAAUCAGAAAGUUUUCUAGUGUGGAUUUUAAAAGAUGGCAGCAGAAGUUGUUCUUUUAUCUGACUACAUUAAAUCUACAAAGGUUCAUCACUGAAAGCAUUUCAGAGUUUUCGAAAGAAAUAUCCAAAAAUAUACUUUAUUACUACAAAAGCUUGAAAGCACUUGAAUUUUUUAUAUAAGAACUACAUACUGAGUGGCUACAACAUGGCAUGUACAAUGUGUACAGCAAUAUGAAGACCUCUAAGGAACUAUGGGUAGCUUUGGAAAAGAAGUACAACAUAGAGAAUGCAUGAAUGAAGAAAUUUAUUAUUGCAAGAUUUGUAGAUUUUAGGUGGUAGACAGUAAUACUGUAGUUACCCAAGUUCAAGAACCGCAAGUCAUCAUUCAUGAUCUCCUCACCAAAGGUAUAAAUUUGUUCUUGAUACUUACAUAGUCUCUGAUGUAGGCUUAAUUGUGAACGAGGCUUAUCAAGUAGCUGCUAUAAUCGAGAAGUUACCACAUUUGUGGAAAGACUUCAAAAACUACUUAAAGCACAAGCACAAGGAGAUGUCUUUCGAAGACCUUAUUGUGAGGUUAAGAAUCGAAGAGGACAAUAAAGCAUCAGAAAAGAGGUCUCGAUGGAAUUUACAAUAAGUAGAGAAAAUAUUGUGGAAGACGACCCCCAAUAAAUUAAAGAGAGAAAGGAAGCGUCAGGACAAUAAGGCAAUCCUCCUAAGAAGAAAUUCAAAGAAAAUUAUUUUAACUGUGACAAAGUUGGCCACAAGUCUUCAGAUUGUCAGGCUCCUAAGAAGGACAAGAAAAGAGGAUCAAGCUAACAUGGUUGAAUCCAAGAUGAUGUGGAGAUCUAUGUGCUAUGCUUUUGGAGUGCAUGUUGGUUGAAAAUCCUAGAGAGUAGUGGAUUAAUUCAGGUGCCACUAGCCACAAUGUGCCAACAAAAAAUUAUUUCCAUUAUAUUUUCUGGCUCAGGCUAAUGAGAACAUAUUCACGGUAACUCUGUUACGGUAAAGAUUGAAGGAAAAUGCAAGAUUUACUUGAAGAUGACAUUGGGCAAGGUGGUGACACUAAACAACGUCCUUUAUGUUUCAAAGUUGCGAAAGAACUUAGUUUCUACUUCACUUCUAACUAAAAAUAGAUUCAAAUAAGAAUUUGUUUCUGACAAAGCUGUAAUUAGUAAGCAAGAAGUGUAUGUAGGUAAAGGUUACUUCAUCGAGGAUUUUUUUAAGAUCAGUGUAAUAAAUGUUGAAAUCAAUAAAAAUUCUGUUUCUUCUUACUUACUUGAGUUAAAUGAAUUAUGGCAUGAACAUUUAGGACAUAUUAAUUACAAAACUUUGCAAAAACUGAUUAAUUUAAAAAUUUUGCCUAACUUUGAGUGUAAUAAAUCAAAUUGUCAAACAUGUGUGGAAUCUAAGUAUGCUAAGCAUCUAUAUAAGUCUGUUGAAAGGAAUUUCAAUCCCUUAGACUUAAUCCACACAAAUAUUUAUGCUAUGAAGUCAAUACCAUCUCAUGGUGAGAAAAAGUAUUUCAUAACUUUUAUUAAUGAUUGCGCUAGAUAUUGUUAUUUUUAUUUGCUAAAUGAUAAGAAUAAAGUAAUAGACGUAUUUUGGUAAUAUAAAACUAAAGUUGAAAACCAGUUGGAUAAAAAGAUCAAAAUAAUAAGAAGUAAUAGGAGUAGAGAGUAUGUAUCUUCUUUUGCAGGGGUAUGUUAGAAAAAAGGAAUUAUCCAUCAAACUAAUUUCCCGUAUUCACCUCAAUCAAAUGGGAUUGUGAAAAGAAAAAUUGAAUGUUAAAGAAAAUAAUAAUUGUCUUACUCAUAAGUUCAGAUAUACCGCAAAACUUGUGGGGGGAAGUUAUCCUUACAGCAAAUCGAAUACUCAAUAGAGUUCCCUAUAAGAAGACACACUCUAUCCUAUAUGAAAAUGAAAAGGAAGGAAACCCAACUUGAAAUAUUUCAAAGUGUGGGAUUGUCUAGCUAAAGUCCAAGUCUAUAUACCUAAAAGGAUAAAAAUAGGACCAAAGAUUGUGGAUUGUGUGUUCAUCGUAUAUGCUACAAGGAGUAAAGCAUUUCAAUAUUUGGUUCAUAAAUUCGAACCAUGAAAAUACGAUAAUCUGAAUCAGAUAAUAUUAAGUUCUUUGAAUACAUUUAUCCGUAUAAAAUUGGACAUGAGAUGUCUAGUGGAGGAUCUAAACAACCUCGAGAUGAACCAAAGGAGAAUGUACUUAAUAAUGAGAAUCAAGGUGUAGUACACGUCAAAUACCGUCAAUUUUCUUUGGAUAAGAUUUUGUAACAUUUCUUCUUGAAAAUGAGCCUUAAAAAUUGAAAGAAACGAUGUCGUCUUCAGACCCAUCCUUUUGGAAAGAGGCAAUCAAUGGUGAUAUAGAUUCAAUCUUGAGCAACCAUACUUAGGAAUUGAUUGAUCUUUCUCCGGUAAAUAAACCUUUAGGUUCUAAAUGGAUCUUCAAAAGGAAAAUAAAAGCUAGUGGUACUUUUGACAAUUAUAAGACAAGACUUGUUGUGAAAGAUUUUAGACAAAAAGAAGGCCUUUAUUAUUUCGAUACAUACUCGCCAAUAACAAGGAUAACGUUCAUUCAGAUGUUGGUUGCGUUGACGACAGUAUAUGAUGUUGAAAUUCAUCAAAUGGAUGUGAAUACAACGUUCUUAAAUAGAGAAUUGAAGGGAGAAAUUUACAUAAAACAACCUAAGGGUUUUGUAGUUUCUGGUAAAGAAAAGAAAUUGUGCAAACUUGUUAAAACACUUUAUGGAUUAAAACAAGCACCCAAAUAGUGGUAUAUAAAAUUUGACCAAACCAUGUUGGCAAACGAUUUCAGGAUAAACGAAUGUGAUAAAUGUGUUUACAUUAAAGACACUCCAAAUCACAAAGUCAUUAUUUGUUUGUAUGUGGAUGACAUGUUGACCAUCAGUAGAGACAUUCUAACAUAAAUGCUAUGAAAUAAAUGCCUGAGGGCAAGUUUGAUUUGAAAGACCUUAGAGUUGCUGACGUAAUCUUAGGGAUAAGAAUUUUUAGAACUCCAUAGGUAUUGGCGUUGUCACAGUCGCAUUACAUUGAAAAGGUGUUUGACAAGUUCAAGCAUUUAGAUUUCAAUAUUGUUGAGACUACAUUAGACAUGAGUUUUGCAUUUCAAAAGAAUGAAGGUGAAAGUAACUCACAGUUGGACUAUGCAAGAGUGUUGAAAAGUUUGGUGUAUAUAUCAUAAAUUGUACGUGAGAAGACAUAGAAUGCACUAUUAGUAAAUUAAGUCGGUAAAAGACUACUCCUAAUCAAACUCAUUGGAUGGAUAUGAAAAAAGUUUUAGGGUAUCUAAAACAUACCCAAGACUAUGUUUUUAUUAUAACAAAUAUCCAGCGUAGAUGAGGUGACUUUUCAAAAUAAUGUAAUUUUUCGUGAACCAUUACUUUCUUUCUGAAGCACCACAUUGUGGCUAUAAAUGCCUGAAUUUUUCCUCUGAUAAAGGUAUGAAGAUUUGAAGGGAAAAACAUUUUCUUUUUCUUCUUAAAACUCUGGUAUGAUCUUCAAACUAUUGAGUGAGUUCGUUGUUCAGAAAAUUUGAGGUACCACUAUUUUUUGAAGAGAAUCAUUUUUCGUAGGGAGGAUAUAUUCCUUUAACCUCGAGUACUUGACUAGAAUAAUUUUUUUAAGGAUACAUCGUGAAUUCAGUGGAUUUGACUCAAUCGUUUCUGUCUUCAUCCCAUUUUCUUAAAGUUGGUUUUAUUAUUUUUCCAGAAAAAUAGUUUGAACAUUAUAUUGAUAGUUCUUCAUUUGUUUGAACUUGUGUUUGAAGUUUUUGAAACUUCAUUUUGAUAGGUUAUAAGUUGUUGAACUUGUGUUGAAGUUAUUGUGGAUUAAAUACAGAUUUUGUACAAAAAAUAAUACGAAAUAGCUGUGAAACCUUGGGGAGCGACCAACUAAAAGAAUUUGCACCGAAGUCGAUCCGAAAUCACUUUCAAAGUAAUGGCUUACCACGACACAAUAUUUUCAGUUCCAUAUUAAUAUUAGAGUAAUUUUUCCAACAAGUGGCAAAGUUUGUUAUUUAACUACAAAAUUUGUUCGUCAACAAAUCCUUGUUUUUCUUUUGUUGGGUAGUAUAUUUUGGUUUUAUCUAAUCAAUCUAUUGACAAGCUAAGCGCCUACGAAAACGAUGUAGAUGUUCUACCUACGGGGGCGGGGGGGUGUCUAUUACAAUUACAAAAAUAAACUGAAUGUUGAGUUUCAGUUCCACUAACACCUUGCAAAAGUGAAUUACCCAUGAAAGAUGGGGGUAUUAUAUCAAAAAAAAAAAACAUAUCUUUUGUUGUUUUCUAAUUUCUAACGAUAUAUUUUUGAUCCAUUGCUUUCCCAUAGUAUGCUAACUUGACAGCCACUUUUUUUUGCUUUUCUAUAUACGUGGAACACUUUUUUUUUCGUCAAAAUGCGAAUCAUAAUUUAAUCCGUCAAUUUUUACUAAAUUGUAAUUGUCUUUUUUUUUUUAUAAACAGAGAUAGCAGGUAACCCAAGAAAAAAAAAUGUCUAGCAGAACAUAUUACGCAUCCUCGAAACUACUAUGACCUAUAAAACUAGAUGAUAAAAAAAUUGGUUUUAUCAUACUGGCACACUUGUAGAUGUUCCAUAAUUCAUGUAAAUUUACUUCAGAUGAAUUGUAGUUUUUGUGUUCAAAUUCAUAUAAAAACGAAAUGAUUUAAGUUUCGUUCUUUGAAUAUCGCCAUACAGAAAUAAAAUAGAACAAGGGGAGUACUUUUCUAGGUCUCUAUUUGAUAUUUUAUCAGUAACAAUUUGAAAAUAGUCAUAACUCAUACACGUAGUAGUAGGUGGAAAUGUUUCUGAUUGAAUUCGGCAUAAAAAUAUUUUUAUGGAAAAAAAGUUUCUUCUAGUUUUGGUUUAUAAGUGGAUCAAUUUUUGUGGAAAAAAAGUUUCUGCUAGUUUUGGUUUCUAAGUGGAUCAUUCCCUAGCGCUCUACUAAAUGAUUUAAUUUUAUAUAAAGAAGAUGAAAUUAUAAGAAAAAAGAGAAAAAAGAAAAAGACUAGAGAUCUAAAGAAGGGAAAACUUAAAGUAUGUGGUAAUAACUUCUUUUAUUCAUCACAUAAUCUCUGCAUUUUGCAAGGAGAUUGAAACUGAGCAAACAUACACAAAGACAUAAAAGUAAAAAUACAAAUAUAAAUAGAGUACAAACAAUAUCACUAAUAACUUAGAGAACAUGAAGCUACAAAAGAACUUCGCCUCCCGUGGGGCUUAUUGUUUACUCUUUUUUCUUCUUUUUGGCAUUGCCUCUCGAAAUGGAAAAUGCCUUUCCUUGAGCUCAACAUUCUGCUUUUCCUGCAUAAGAAUAUAAUAUUGUCAAUGAGAACAUAUAGUAACUGAUUAAUAAACCUAAUAAGUAGGAGAUAGCAUAGGCUUAUAUAUUAAUGCGUUUGCAUGAAGAAAUUGUGCAACUUGUAUUGAUUUGCAUUUAGACAAAUCAUUUUUAAGAAUUUUAGUUUGGCUUAAUUACCUUAGAUUUGAUGUUGUUGUUUCUUAGUGAUGGUAGGGAGGAGGUGGAGACUUGUAAACCGGAGUUGGUGGUGGUGGAGACUUGUAUACUGGUGCAGGAUGGUGUGGUGUUGGUGAAGGAUGGUAUGGAUUCACUGGUGGUGGUGACUUGUAAACGGGUGUUGGUGGUGGUGGAGAUUUGUAUACUGGUGCAGGGUGGUAUGACUUCACUGGUGGUGGUGGUGACUGGUAAACGGGUGUUGGUGGUGGUGGAGACUUAUAAACUGGUGCAGGAUGAUAUGGCUUCACUGGUGAUGGUGGUGACUUGUAAACGGGUGUUGGUGGUGGUGGAGACUUAUAAAUUGGUGUGGGAUGAUAUGGUGUUGGUGGAGGAUAGUAUGGCCUCUUAGGUGGUGGUGGUGACUUGUAAACUGGAGUUGGUGGUGGUGGCGACUUGUACACUGGAGUGUGUGGCGGGUAGUAUGGCUUUUUGGGUGGUGGUGGGGACUUGUAAACUGGAGUUGGGGGUGGUGGAGACUUGUAAACUGGGGUGUGUGGAGGGUAGUGUGGUGGUGACUUGUAAACUGGAGUCGGGGGUGGUGGAGACUUGUAAACUGGGGUGUGUGGAGGAUAAUGUGGCUUCUUUGGUGGUGGUGGGGACUUGUAAACUGGAGUGUGUGGAGGAUAGUGUGGCUUCUUCGGUGGUGGUGGUGACUUGUAAACAGGAGUUGGUGGUGGUGGCGACUUGUGAACUGGUGCGGGAUGAUAAGGUGUUGGUGAAGGGUGGUAUGGCUUCUUAGGUGGUGGUGGAGAUUUGUAAACAG
This 26269-nucleotide long non-coding RNA is filed under the name Capsicum annuum. RNAcentral describes it as "long non-coding RNA (CANN_LNC020227)". Lineage: Eukaryota; Viridiplantae; Streptophyta; Magnoliopsida; Solanales; Solanaceae. The record is from RNAcentral.